This 332-nucleotide long non-coding RNA is filed under the name Mytilus galloprovincialis (Mediterranean mussel). The record is from RNAcentral. Lineage: Eukaryota; Metazoa; Mollusca; Bivalvia; Mytilida; Mytilidae.
AUCUAUUUAUUAAACAAAUACAUAAUGUACAAUAAUUAACAUAUUCAUGUGAAGUCAAUUGUUAUCUCAGUACUAUCUAUUUGAACAUCUUCAGUAUAUAAAAAUAUACUUUAUAUGGAUUUAAAGGGGCACUAUAGCUACGAGAUAUAUAAAAAAUCUAAAGUAUGAUUUUUUUUUUGUUCAAUCAUUAAUGAAAGUGAAAUAAUGAAAUAAUAAUUCACUUUUAGCAGCUAAAAUGGUUCCAUUUUGUCAAAUUAAGCUAAUAAAUUAUUCACUUGCAAGUGAAUAACUCGACCUCAUUAAACCUGUAUUCAGGUGAACUCCAAUUUAAC